CAGUGAGGUUUGGAGAUGGCCGUGAAGAGACGAAAGUCCAUGCCUGAGACUGUCCAGUCAUCUCUGCGGGGGCCACAUAUUUUUGCAGGAUAUUGUAUUUGAAAAAAAAAAAAAAAAAAACCUUCAAGAUUCAUGAAAUUAGACAACUGUCUUUGUAACACUUACAGUGGUAAAAGCCGUCAGGGAGGCUGGUUUGCAGUCAUCUGAGCAGCCUCUCCGGUUUCAUAGAUACAGUUUCUCUCUGACACUGAACGCCUUUCAACAUCACAGAGAUAACCAGGUUUGAAAGGUACCGGUUUUCUUUGUAAUCCUAAAGGUUCUAGUCUGCCCAUUAAAAGACAUUAUCUGCAGAUGCGUGCACAAGCCUCCAGCUGGCCGCCAGAAAGGUCCUCCGCAGGACACAGGUCAAGUACCCUCCUCUUUGGUGGAGACCAGAUUCGGGGUCUCGGCGCACCGCCCCAAAGGACAGGGGCUGCAUGGAAAAAAGGGAGAGGCCGUCACUUACCCGGGUUGGUCGGCUGAGUGGCAGAAGAGCAGACGGGGACUGGGAAGGCGCCUUCGGUGACAUCACGGAGAGGGCGACUUCUAUGUAGAUGAGGCAGCGCAGGGGCUGCUGCUUGGCCACCUGCUGCUUCCCGACGAAGCUGUGGGAGCGAGUCCAGGACCACUGGCUGGAGUGCGAAGGCGUCAUCUCGGCUCACCGCAAUCUCCGCCCCCUGGGUUCAAGCACUUGAUCAGGAAUAAUGUCAUCAGUGAAUGGAAAAACAAAUGGACAUUAUUAUUUAACCCAUAAUGAGACAAGCUGGUAACAUAACUGAGGUCAACCGCUGCUCAUAUUUAAACAGCUUAAUCUUAAAUCCAGAAGGUCAAUAUAUUCAGCUAUUUCCUGGGACUUUGGCAAAUGAUUUAUCUGGUGACAGGAGGCCUGUUUUCAGAUCGCAUCCUCUCCCUGUCCCUAAUCCAGUUUCUUGGGCCCUCUCUUGAUGCCCGCUUGAGGUUCCUGCCCGUGCAUAAUAUGUGCUCAAUAAAUAUUUGUUGAAUGAAUGAAUAAAUAAAAAAAAUUAUCCAGCCCUGA
Callithrix jacchus (white-tufted-ear marmoset) is the source of this 1075-nucleotide non-coding RNA. The record is from RefSeq and is a predicted model, not a curated record. Lineage: Eukaryota; Metazoa; Chordata; Mammalia; Primates; Cebidae.